Molecule: long non-coding RNA, 549 nt
Filed under: Vitis vinifera (wine grape)
Lineage: Eukaryota; Viridiplantae; Streptophyta; Magnoliopsida; Vitales; Vitaceae
Description: long non-coding RNA (VVIN_LNC003123)
Source: RNAcentral
GCCCAUCUGUCACCGUUUUAAAAGGGCCAUAUGACCUUUCACCACCUUCCCCCCAUUUCUUCUUCUUACCAUCCCUGUGCCUCUAUCUUUCCAUGCCCGGCCCAGCCGCCGACCCACCAUCGUUGUCAUCGUCCUCUACGCACUAGUCCUGCAUCCAAUAUCAGUCAAGCUAUAGUGGGCGGUACCUUUUGUGCUUAAAUUAUAGGCUAUCCCUACCAUGGACGGCAGAUUCAACAGUAACCCAUUUGUUAGUGAACAAGAAGAGCAGGAAAACUCACCGGAAAAUAGUGGAGACUCGCCACCUUCUCCUAUGUUUAAUGAUGCAAAGAUCUCUUCUUCUACGUCUUCCCCCAAACGAAGGUUUGUAUCACCACCCAAUUAUACAUAUUGCUUCGUUUUCUUUGCAUGAAUUACUGAGAUUCCGUGUAAGAAGCAUAGUCUGAUAAGAAUAGGAUAUGGGGUUUGUUUCAGUAGGCGAGCCAUGCAAAAGAGAGUGGUGUCAGUGCCCAUCAAGGAUGUGGAAGGCUCACGAGUCAAGGGGGACUGUGC